CCUACGGGAGGCUGCAGUGGGGAAUAUUGGACAAUGGGGGCAACCCUGAUCCAGCCAUGCCGCGUGUGUGAAGAAGGCCCUCGGGUUGUAAAGCACUUUCAGUGAGGAAGAACGCCUGGUGGUUAAUACCCAUCAGGAAAGACAUCACUCACAGAAGAAGCACCGGCUAACUCCGUGCCAGCAGCCGCGGUAAUACGGAGGGUGCGAGCGUUAAUCGGAAUUACUGGGCGUAAAGCGCGCGUAGGUGGCUUGAUAAGCCGGUUGUGAAAGCCCCGGGCUCAACCUGGGAACGGCAUCCGGAACUGUCAAGCUAGAGUGCAGGAGAGGAAGGUAGAAUUCCCGGUGUAGCGGUGAAAUGCGUAGAGAUCGGGAGGAAUACCAGUGGCGAAGGCGGCCUUCUGGACUGACACUGACACUGAGGUGCGAAAGCGUGGAUAGCAAACAGGAUUAGAUACCCGAGUAGUC
Molecule: ribosomal RNA, 465 nt
Filed under: Vreelandella stevensii
Lineage: Bacteria; Pseudomonadati; Pseudomonadota; Gammaproteobacteria; Oceanospirillales; Halomonadaceae
Description: partial 16S ribosomal RNA
Rfam family: Bacterial small subunit ribosomal RNA
Source: RNAcentral